GAUUUGGGUCAUUUGGAGUCGAGUACUCAUGGCAAAAGCGUGGUUCAGAUUGAUUAUUAAGCCGGUUCGAGGUAAGUGGCUUGCCUAACUUUGUGUGGGGGACCUUCCCCUUAGGAUAUGAUAUAUUUUAUAAUUGAAAUGCCUUGUACGUGAGGUGACGAGUGCGUACUUGAGCUAAUUAUUGAAAAAUCCGGUUUUUCCUUAAGUAUUUCAAUUGAGUUCUUUUUCCUGUUUUAUUCUACUUGCGAAUUUAGCCUGUUUCUAGUUUAGAAAAGCAUGUUUAGUUGACUUAAUUGCGUAUUUGCUUAAACUGCCUUAAUCGCAUUACGUGAAGCAUGUUAGGCUAGAAUUAACUGUUUACUUGGUACGAAAUUUAGCUUAAUUGGGUAUUCCUGUGUUGUUGCUGUGUGUUUUUACUUUGGGACUACGGGAUGGCAUCCCGGGAGAUCCCCUGUACGUAUUUAUGAUCUGAACUGAGGUGCGGGAUACCAAGAGAUCCCUGACACAUAUAUUGAGGAUACCAAGAGAUCCUCGGGAUAUCAAGAGAUCCCUAGUAUAUAUUGAGGAUACCAAGAGAUCCCUAGCAUAUAUUGAGGAUACCAAGAGAUCCUCGGGAUACCAAGAGAUCCCUAGAAUAUUUGAGGAUACCAAGAGAUCCUUAGGAUACCAAGAUAUCCCUAGCAUAUAUUGAGGAUACCAAGAGAUCCAUGGGAUACCAAGAUAUCCCCAACUAUCAUCCUUGUUAUGGGUGGUACUUCCUGGUGUUUGCCUUUAUUUCUGUUUCCGUUAUUGUACUCUUAUUAUCCUGUAUAGAUUCUUACUGUAGAUUCUCAAUUGUACUGCUUACCUUAUCAUGUCAUCUUUAUAUUUAUUUAAUCUCAAUAGGGCCCUGACCUUCCUUGUCGCUAUCCAACCGAGGUUAGGCUUGGCACUUACUGAGUACCAUUGUGGUGUACUCAUGCCCCUUCUGCGCAUAUUUUUUUCAUGUGCAGAUCCAGGUACCGCUACUUAGGCCUAUCAUCCUUGAGGAGGUGACUGCUCUAGAGACUUCAAGGUACAUCUGUUGCGUCCGCAAACCAAGAAGUCCCUUUCUAUUCCUGCUUUUAAUAUUUAGCCCUUCUGUAUUUUUCUGUUCUAUUAGACAUUCUGGAGUUAGAGCUAUGUAGUAUUGAUCUUAGCUUGUGAUUCGUGGGUUUCCGGGUCUUGGAUUUAUGUAUUGGUAUUGAGAGUUAAACAUGGUGUAUGCCGAGCAACACAUUUAAACAUUAUU
Molecule: long non-coding RNA, 1270 nt
Filed under: Nicotiana tabacum (common tobacco)
Lineage: Eukaryota; Viridiplantae; Streptophyta; Magnoliopsida; Solanales; Solanaceae
Description: long non-coding RNA (NTAB_LNC018640)
Source: RNAcentral